Triticum aestivum (bread wheat) is the source of this 1091-nucleotide long non-coding RNA. RefSeq lists it as uncharacterized. NCBI's taxonomy places the organism in Eukaryota, Viridiplantae, Streptophyta, Magnoliopsida, Poales, Poaceae. The record is from RefSeq and is a predicted model, not a curated record. The transcript has 4 exons.
GAAAUCUAAACAGUUUAAACUAUAUAGGAAGACAUUUAUAGGUUAGAAACAAUCUGUUCUACUUCUGCAGAUUAUCUAGAUAAGUGAUGAAGUUUACUUAGUAUAGUAUUUUUUUUUCUGUCACUUCUUUAUCUACCAAAAGUGUGAACCCAUGGUAUGAGCCACUAAUGCAAGCAUCGUCAUUCUUUUCUGAGUUUGUCUAAUUCACAUCUAAAUGUUUUCUAAGGAUGUCACAUCUAAGCUCCCACAAAUAACGCAGCAACAAGGAACAAAAAAAAAGCUGGGGCAAAAAAAAAAUACACCACAAACAUAGUGGACACAAGGUUAGACGUGACAUAAAUGUGUCCUAGACAGACCCUUCUUUUCUUAGUGAAACAUCAACUUUCCAAAGACAAUAUUCCAAACUGGACAGUUGAUACAUAGAGCUAUUUUACUUUAACAUUUAAAGUGUGGCUGCAAAUCUGGGAUGCAGGAGGUGAAAAUUCAUUGUCUAAUCUGUUUCUCAGUUUCCUCUUUCAGAAACGAGAGAUUUUUCAAGACCUUGCUCCACUGCUGUGGCACUCCUUUGGCACUGUUGCUGCACUGCUCCAGGAGAUUGUGUCAAUUUACCCUUCACUUUCACCUCCUACUUUGUCGCUAGUUGCAUCAAACCGUGUCUGCAAUGCACUUGCACUUCUUCAGUGUGUUGCUUCACACCCUGAGACCAGGAUCCCGUUCUUGAAUGCUCACAUCCCACUGUACCUGUACCCGUUCCUGAAUACUACCAGCAAGACAAGACCUUUUGAGUACUUGAGGCUUACCAGCUUGGGUGUUAUUGGUGCUCUUGUGAAGGUAAAUUAAAACUAGAUACUUAUGCAAACUAGGAAUGGAUGGUCCAUAUAGAUUUUUGCUUUAAAUGGUGAGAGGGUUGUUGAACCAGAGGGGAAAACAGUGAUGGGGAUUGGCUGUAUUCUUUCUUUUUUUUGUAGACUAUAUCUUGUUCUUUUGGUAUUCUCAUUCCAGUAAUCCAGUCAUUUUAAUCAAAUGGACUGGUUGGGAUUGGAUCCCAGGAAUCUCAACAGGAACUGUUAUUUUUGAAGCAAACAGGCUAA